AGAGCGAACGCUGGCGGCAUGCUUAACACAUGCAAGUCGCACGGUUGGGUUUCGGCCUGGCAGUGGCGGACGGGUGAGUAUCGCGUAGGGAUUUAUCGUUGGGUGGGGAUAACCGCGGGAAACUGCGGCUAAUACCGCAUAAUACCUUCGGGUCAAAGGAGCAAUUCGCUUAAGGAGGGGGUCGCGGCCGAUUAGUUAGUUGGCGGGGUAAUGGCCCACAAGACUGUGAUCGGUAUCC
RNAcentral lists this ribosomal RNA (238 nucleotides) under uncultured bacterium. RNAcentral's name for it is "partial small subunit ribosomal RNA". It matches the Rfam family "Bacterial small subunit ribosomal RNA", at positions 26 to 288 of the family's 1533-position model. The record is from RNAcentral.